AAGUCGUAACAAGGUUUCCGUAGGUGAACCUGCGGAAGGAUCAUUACAAGUAUCCAAACUUUACCUAAUUGUGAACUGGUUGUGAUGAAUGUUGUAGCAGGAGAAGAAGAGUUUUGAUGUUGGGCAGAUGUCUCGUACAUGUGCCCAACAGCAGCACUCUGCUUUUCCUGUGAAAGUUCUCAACAAACUCUUGUUAAACUUAUUUUGUCUGAUAAUGUUAUAUGAUAAAUUUCAUACAACUUGCAGCGAUGGAUCUCUUGGCUCUG
This 266-nucleotide unclassified non-coding RNA is filed under the name fungal sp. RNAcentral describes it as "partial internal transcribed spacer region". The stretch from base 1 to 46 matches the Rfam family "Eukaryotic small subunit ribosomal RNA", at positions 1786 to 1831 of the family's 1831-position model. Lineage: Eukaryota; Fungi. The record is from RNAcentral.